RNAcentral lists this ribosomal RNA (229 nucleotides) under uncultured bacterium. Its description in RNAcentral is "partial 16S ribosomal RNA". It matches the Rfam family "Bacterial small subunit ribosomal RNA", at positions 568 to 796 of the family's 1533-position model. The record is from RNAcentral.
UGCGUAGGCGGAUUAAUAAGUCAGUGGUGAAAUCUUUCGGCUCAACCGAGAAACUGCCAUUGAUACUGUUAAUCUUGAGUUCAGUUGAGGUAGGCGGAAUGUGUAAUGUAGCGGUGAAAUGCUUAGAUAUUACACAGAACACCAAUUGCGUAGGCAGCUUACUAGACCGACACUGACGCUGAGGCACGAAAGCGUGGGGAGCGAACAGGAUUAGAUACCCUGGUAGUCC